This is a long non-coding RNA of Spinacia oleracea (spinach), 2145 nucleotides long. RefSeq lists it as uncharacterized. NCBI's taxonomy places the organism in Eukaryota, Viridiplantae, Streptophyta, Magnoliopsida, Caryophyllales, Amaranthaceae. The record is from RefSeq and is a predicted model, not a curated record. The transcript is spliced from 2 exons.
UACCUUGAGAACAGUACUUUUUAGUUUUGCAGUUUACAUUAUUUUAUCAUGUGAUGUGCCCUGUGGGAAAUGUUGUUCUGGAAAAUUAGAAGGCUAUUACUUUUGUUCUGGGUGGAUCAUAUAGGUUAACUUGAUUGCUUCACCAACGAGUGUAUAUGCACCCAUACGUACACUUAUCAACCAUUGAUACUAUGAACACAUACCAACAUUCUUGGUCAUUGGAUGUGGUUCUUGUCUUGUUUUCACAUCGCAGUAGUUACAUAUUACACUGCGAAAAUAACCUUGCAGCUUUGAACUCCAAGAGAGCUCACAAGCCUUAGCCAUUACUACUUCUGGAUCCCACAUAUUGUUCUUUUGUAAGCACCGUGUCAAGAUAGUGUGACUUGCUCUUGCAUAACUCUUGUCUCCUAAUUAGUUUACCUCAGCAUCUCAUUGCUUGAUACUUUGCCCCUAAGAUAGGCUUUGUUUCAAGAUUGUAAUCAUCGGUUAUUGAGUAAACAACCCCGAGCAGUCUUAUUAUAAUUUAAUUCGUCCUGCUCGGACUGUGGACACUGUGCUUCAGGACCUGAUGCUGGAGCCCACCAAAAAUGAAUAACACAUCUUGGCCUCACUUGGGAGUUUACAGGGUUCCUUGCCAGCAUACUCCCUAGUAGUGUGUGUCAUCCUGUUGGCUUGAAGCUCUAGUAAGUCGAGUGGCUUACUAGAUGCAGCAACACACAAGUUAGCAUCACUCGAUGACAAACUGCAAUCUUGUGUAUAUAUGUCUGAUUCCCUCUUGCGGUGGUGUCCCAUGCUUGUGGAGUUAUGCACCAAGCUGAAAGCACGUGUUGAAGUGUCUAGUCCAACGAGGAUAUGUAUCCUGUCUCACGUCCAAACCGAAAGAAAAGAGUAGCUUUCUUUCUGCUCCAGCAGUUUCAAGACUGAGCAGCGGAAAACCUAGAGGUAUCAAGUCUUGAAAAGCCAAUGAGGGUACCCUAUGUGUGGCAUUUUAUCCCACACUAUGAAGUCAGGUUAUGUCUGUGAAUCUUCUGGAUUCAUACUCACCAAACUGGGUGUCUUCAAAAGCCAAUGAGGGUAUCCUAUGUGUGGCCUUGUAGAUUUGUAUCCCACUCUAUGAAUCCAGGUUAUGUCUAAGGGUACCCUAUGUAGGGGUGUGCAAAAAUUGGUCCGGACCGAAAAAAUGGACCGGACCGGACCGACCCAGACCGGACCAGGCCGGACCGAAGACAAUCGGUCCGGUCAUCGGGUCGAGAAAUAUCAAUUUCCGGUCUUCGGUCCGGUCCGGUCUGGUCCGGUCCAAAACCCGAUUUUGGACCGGACCGAUUUUUUCUUAAUAAUAUAUAAUAUAAAAUACUUAAAAAGUUAAUUCUCUCAUUUAAUAUGUUGUAAAUAUUAUUAUAUUGUGAUAUGUUUUAUUUUAGCUUCCAAAAAAGGCCUUAAAAAAUUGAUUUUUUUUAUAUAUAUUUUUUCUUUUUUACCAUAAUUUUUAGAAAAAUAAAAAAUAUAUAGAAAAAGGUCUACAACCGGUCCAAAUCGGUCCGGUCCGGGUUUUGGACCGAUUUUAUCGGUCCGGUCCGGUUUUGGUCCAAGUAUAAUCGGUCCGGUCUUUGGGUCUCAAAUUAUCAAAUUUCGGUCUUCGGUCCGAUCCGGGUCGGUCCGGUCCGGUCCGGGUUUGGACCGAUGAACACCCCUAACCCCAUGUGUGGCAUUGUAUCCCAUUCUAUGAAUCCAGGUUAUGUCUGAAACUUUCGGAUUCAUAAACUCACCAAACUGCGUUCUCAGCAGGCGGUCAAGUCUGUGCGAAUGAGAACUAUUCUGUUCUCAUACCCACGUACAUGCUUGCAGUCAUCGAGAGCUCAUCGCCCAAAGGAGUCUAGCGUCACUUUCUAAAAUGUUACUAUAGUAAACUUCGUCACAGUGACACUUGCACAUCUUGUGUACCCUUGAGACACAUACAAACGUCCAUUUCACUGUAUCAAGUAUUCAUGCUUUAACCUACUAAGCCGUAGGCUCUAUAAAUUGGGCGUGGCCGUGGCUGCAUAGUUUUGAGGCUAAGGAAGGAUCAAAAUUCACUGAGAAUUGGAAAAUCUCUUUAAACAGUUUCAUCUUUUCUAAUGCUGUAAUCCAAUCCCCCCCCCCCCCCCC